GCAGCAAUUGACGUUACCCGCAGAAGAAGCACCGGCUAACUCCGUGCCAGCAGCCGCGGUAAUACGGAGGGUGCAAGCGUUAAUCGGAAUUACUGGGCGUAAAGCGCACGCAGGCGGUCUGUCAAGUCGGAUGUGAAAUCCCCGGGCUCAACCUGGGAACUGCAUUCGAAACUGGCAGGCUUGAGUCUUGUAGAGGGGGGUAGAAUUCC
RNAcentral lists this ribosomal RNA (209 nucleotides) under Salmonella enterica subsp. enterica serovar Kentucky. RNAcentral describes it as "partial 16S ribosomal RNA". It matches the Rfam family "Bacterial small subunit ribosomal RNA", at positions 462 to 670 of the family's 1533-position model. Lineage: Bacteria; Pseudomonadati; Pseudomonadota; Gammaproteobacteria; Enterobacterales; Enterobacteriaceae. The record is from RNAcentral.